CCUGAUCCCUAAUUACUUUAACCUGCAGUUAAAUGUCAGUCUCUCUAAUUAUCUGGUUACUCCUCUCCUGAGUCCAAUAUAGCCUGCAGGUGUGCAUGGCAAUGUGGUUUGCAGGUCUGACUGACCUAGUGCACCUUUCAUUUAUUAGGCUGGCCUUUUGCAAAGUUGGUCAAACCUCUUGUGUUUUCAAGAUACUAUUAUUAAUUUGAACUCUAUUAGACGAGACUAGAUCUGAAACUUUAGCAGACUUUAGGGAAUUUCACAAAAGAGAGCCUCCUGCUUUGUUAUUCCUGUUGCAGUAACGCUGUAUACCUUUGGGGAGACCAAGUUGCAUCAAGUUCAAGGAACAGGUCUCCAUUUGCACGGUGUCUGUAGCAGAACCAGGACCAGAAUUUUUGAUCUUUGACUGUUGCCUCAGAUGCUCAGCUACUUCGUAUUCCGUGCUUUGUUUGGGUGGAAGGAGACUUCCUGAAACCUGGCACGGGUCUCUAGUGACUGGGAGCUGCUACUCUGAUGGUUAUUUAAUGGUUCAGAAGCAAGGAGCUGGUGGAAAAACUCUGCCAUUUGGUACACAAGAAGGUAUAACUUAUUUCAGGUACAUGGUCCUGUAUGGAGAGAUCAUGAAUGCAGUGGUCACUGAGGUGGCCCAAUCUGUUAAGAAAGAAACAGGCCUUACUCCUUUUUUUUUUUCCUGAGCUUAGCCAAAUGCUGAAUUUAGUAGUAAGAUCACAAAUCUUUCUCAUCCUAUUUCUUCUCUAUUGCCAGUUGCCCUUGAUCUUUUCCUAUGGUAACACAACACCAG
Molecule: long non-coding RNA, 802 nt
Filed under: Anas platyrhynchos platyrhynchos (common mallard)
Lineage: Eukaryota; Metazoa; Chordata; Aves; Anseriformes; Anatidae
Description: lncRNA (ENSAPLG00000024012.1)
Source: RNAcentral